GGAAGGGAAUAGUGCCCGGUGGUGCUGCCGGUCUUCAAAACCGGAGAUCCCGAUAGAUGUCGGGAUGGUGGGUUCGACUCCCGCUUCCUUCCGCCA
This 96-nucleotide transfer RNA is filed under the name Pseudomonadota bacterium. Its description in RNAcentral is "Proteobacteria bacterium (cold seep metagenome) tRNA-Sec". It matches the Rfam family "Selenocysteine transfer RNA". The record is from RNAcentral. Lineage: Bacteria; Pseudomonadati; Pseudomonadota.